UGUAAGCGUAUACCAAAGUUGUUGCAGUUAAAACGCUCGUAGUCGGAAUUUGGCAGUUCCGGAAGUGUGCACGUCGUGUGCGCACUUUGCGGGGACUGCUUUUGUGGUCUUGCGUAGGAUGAGGCACUUUCAUUAGUGAACGUCCUCACGCAACCACUCUUUACUGUGAGAAAAUCAGAGUGCUCAAAGCAGGCAUUUGCCGUGAAUGUAUUAGCAUGGAAUAAUAGAAUAGGACUCGGUUCUAUUUUGUUGGUUUGUUGGGACUGAGUAAUGAUUAAGAGGGACAGUUGGUGGCAUUUGUAUUCCGGCGCUAGAGGUGAAAUUCUUAGAUUGCCGGAAGACAAACUGCUGCGAAAGCGUCUGCCAAGGAUGUUUUCAUUGA
This 382-nucleotide ribosomal RNA is filed under the name uncultured eukaryote. Its description in RNAcentral is "partial 18S ribosomal RNA". It matches the Rfam family "Eukaryotic small subunit ribosomal RNA", at positions 592 to 976 of the family's 1831-position model. The record is from RNAcentral.